UGGGGAAUAUUGGACAAUGGGGGAAACCCUGAUCCAGCCAUGCCGCGUGAGUGAUGAAGGCCUUCGGGUUGUAAAGCUCUUUUGUACGGGACGAUGAUGACGGUACCGUAAGAAUAAGCCCCGGCUAACUUCGUGCCAGCAGCCGCGGUAAUACGAAGGGGGCUAGCGUUGUUCGGAAUUACUGGGCGUAAAGGGUGCGUAGGUGGCGCCGCAAGUCAGAAGUGAAAGCCCUGGGCUCAACCCGGGAAUUGCUUUUGAGACUGUGGUGCUCGAGUUCGGAAGAGGUGAGUGGAAUUCCCAGUGUAGAGGUAAAAUUCGUAGAUAUUGGGAGGAACACCGGUGGCGAAAGCGGCUCACUGGUCCGAAACUGACACUGAGACACGAAAGCGUGGGGAGCAAACAGGAUUAGAUACCCCCGUAGUCC
This 424-nucleotide ribosomal RNA is filed under the name uncultured bacterium. Its description in RNAcentral is "bacterial SSU rRNA". It matches the Rfam family "Bacterial small subunit ribosomal RNA", at positions 355 to 796 of the family's 1533-position model. The record is from RNAcentral.